GCUUGGGCUUGGUAGCCGAGUGGGUAAAAGCGCUUAUAGCUAUUUACUCGGUACCGAAUAUCGAUGGUUCGAAUCCAUCCCGGAGCA
Molecule: transfer RNA, 87 nt
Filed under: Rhamnusium bicolor
Lineage: Eukaryota; Metazoa; Arthropoda; Insecta; Coleoptera; Cerambycidae
Description: tRNA-OTHER
Rfam family: tRNA
About the family: Transfer RNA (tRNA) molecules are approximately 80 nucleotides in length.
Source: RNAcentral